AUGGCAGCCUCCCUCCUCCUCCUCUCCCCCUCGCCUCACUGCCACUGCAUUACCACGCCCACCAGGGGAACCGGAACGCCGCUGCCUUCCCCGCGGUGCCACCCACCAGCUCCGCGGCGCCGGCCGCGGCCGCGGGGCGCGGGGCUGGUGGCGAGAGGCGCCGCGGUGCCUCCCGAGCAAAGCUUAGCGCCUCACUACGAGACUCUGGGCGACGCCAAGUCUGCGCUGUACCAAGCUCUGGAAGGUAUCGACAGAGGAAUAUUUGGCAUAACCUCCGCGAAAAGGUCCGAGAUUCAUGCUCUGGUGGAGCUCUUGGAGUCCCGGAAUCCUACACCGAAUCCCACCGACAAAUUGCACGACAAGGUGGACGGCUGCUGGAGGCUCAUCUAUAGCACCAUCUCGAUUCUGGGGAAAAGGAGAACCAAGUUAGGCCUGCGAGAUUUCAUCAGCCUGGGGGAUUUCUUCCAGAUAAUCGAUGUCAAGGAGGAAAAGGCGGUGAGUGUCAUAAAGUUCAGCGCAAGAGCAUUGAAGAUAUUCUCAGGCCAACUUGCUAUUGAAGCAUCCUACACUAUCACGACAAAAACAAGAGUGGGUAUCAAGCUUGAGAGUUCAACAAUCACCCCAGAUCAGUUGAUGAAUAUCUUCCAGAAGAACUACGACAUGCUCCUUGCCAUAUUCAACCCAGAAGGUUGGCUUGAGAUAACAUAUGUUGACGAAUCUCUACGGAUCGGCAGAGAUGACAAGGCAAACAUCUUUGUUCUGGAGAAAACAGACCCAUCUCAAGUGUAA
RNAcentral lists this ribosomal RNA (789 nucleotides) under Triticum aestivum (bread wheat). RNAcentral describes it as "partial small subunit ribosomal RNA". Lineage: Eukaryota; Viridiplantae; Streptophyta; Magnoliopsida; Poales; Poaceae. The record is from RNAcentral.